This 222-nucleotide ribosomal RNA is filed under the name Triticum aestivum (bread wheat). Its description in RNAcentral is "partial small subunit ribosomal RNA". The stretch from base 93 to 222 matches the Rfam family "U1 spliceosomal RNA", at positions 1 to 134 of the family's 166-position model. From Rfam's summary of the family: U1 is a small nuclear RNA (snRNA) component of the spliceosome (involved in pre-mRNA splicing). Its 5' end forms complementary base pairs with the 5' splice junction, thus defining the 5' donor site of an intron. The record is from RNAcentral. Lineage: Eukaryota; Viridiplantae; Streptophyta; Magnoliopsida; Poales; Poaceae.
AUGGCCAGGUAUUCAGUUCUCCCAUGCAUUUCUGAACAGUGGACAUGCGAGUUGUCUUUACUCAUUUCUGGAAGAGCGGGCUUCAUUGCAAGAUACUUACCUGGACGGGGUCAACGGGUGAUCAAGAAGGCUCGUGGCCUAGAUCAAUGGCUCACAUUGCACUUGGUGAGUGUGUUGGUCUACCAUCUCUCCAAGUGGGAGAGUGGACGUCGUAAUUUGUGA